RNAcentral lists this signal recognition particle RNA (99 nucleotides) under Bacilli bacterium. RNAcentral's name for it is "signal recognition particle sRNA small type". It matches the Rfam family "Bacterial small signal recognition particle RNA". From Rfam's summary of the family: The signal recognition particle (SRP) is a universally conserved ribonucleoprotein involved in the co-translational targeting of proteins to membranes. Archaeal SRP consists of a 7S RNA and homologues of the eukaryotic SRP19 and SRP54 proteins. Lineage: Bacteria; Bacillati; Bacillota; Bacilli. The record is from RNAcentral.
UAUUAUUAGAGGCACAACAUUUAUGUUUGAACUAGGUCAGAAUCGGAAGAUAGCAGCCUUAAUAGCCUCUAAAUGUGUGUGCUUUUUUUUGUAGGUGAU